RNAcentral lists this non-coding RNA (24 nucleotides) under Arabidopsis thaliana (thale cress). Lineage: Eukaryota; Viridiplantae; Streptophyta; Magnoliopsida; Brassicales; Brassicaceae. The record is from RNAcentral.
GAGUAUCUCAGAGUUUCUCAAGUG